This 627-nucleotide ribosomal RNA is filed under the name uncultured soil bacterium. Its description in RNAcentral is "bacterial SSU rRNA". It matches the Rfam family "Bacterial small subunit ribosomal RNA", at positions 33 to 647 of the family's 1533-position model. The record is from RNAcentral.
ACGCUGGCGGCGCGCUUAACACAUGCAAGUCGAGCGAGAACCUGGCCUUCGGGCCUGGGGAAAGCGGCGAACGGGUGAGUAACACGUGGGUAACCCACCCUUGGUAUUGGGAUAGCCCGGGGAAACCCGGAUUAAUACCGGAUGGCCCAACAGCUCUCAGGGGCGGUUGGAAAAGGUAGCUUCGGCCUCCGACCAAGGACGGGCCCGCGGCGGAUUAGCUUGUUGGUGGGGUAACGGCCUACCAAGGCGACGAUCCGUAGCUGGUCUGAGAGGACGAUCAGCCACACUAGGACUGAGACACGGCCCAGACUCCUACGGGAGGCAGCAGUGGGGAAUCUUGCGCAAUGGGCGAAAGCCUGACGCAGCGACGCCGCGUGGGGGAAGAAGGCUUUCGGGUUGUAAACCCCUUUCAGGAAGGACGAAGCCACUCGGGUUAAUAGCCCAGAGGGUGACGGUACUUCCAGAAGAAGCCCCGGCUAACUACGUGCCAGCAGCCGCGGUAAUACGUAGGGGGCAAGCGUUGUCCGGAUUUAUUGGGCGUAAAGAGCGAGUAGGUGGUUUGGUAGGUCCGUUGUGAAAACUCGAGGCUCAACCUCGAGACGCCGAUGGAAACCAUCAGACUAGAGU